This 817-nucleotide ribosomal RNA is filed under the name uncultured bacterium. RNAcentral's name for it is "bacterial SSU rRNA". It matches the Rfam family "Bacterial small subunit ribosomal RNA", at positions 247 to 1054 of the family's 1533-position model. The record is from RNAcentral.
AGUUGGUAGGGUAAUAGCCUACCAAGGCAAUGAUCUGUAGCUGGUCUGAGAGGACGACCAGCCACACUGGAACUGAGAUACGGUCCAGACUCCUACGGGAGGCAGCAGUGGGGAAUAUUGGACAAUGGGCGAAAGCCUGAUCCAGCAAUGCCGCGUGUGUGAUGAAGGCCUGCGGGUUGUAAAGCACUUUUGAUGGGAAAGAAAUCUUUUGGGCUAAUACCUCAGAAGGAUGACGUUACCCAUAGAAUAAGCACCGGCUAACGCUGUGCCAGCAGCCGCGGUAAUACAGAGGGUGCAAGCGUUAAUCGAAAUUAUUGGGCGUAAAGGGUGCGUAGACGGAUUAAUAAGUUAAUUGUGAAAUCCCUGGGCUUAACCUAGGAACUGCAAUUAAUACUGUUAGUCUAGAGUAUGAUAGAGGAAAAUGGAAUUCUCGGUGUAGCGGUAAAAUGCGUAGAUAUCGAGAGGAACACCAGAAGCGAAGGCGAUUUUCUGGGUCAAUACUGACGUUGAGGCACGAAAGCGUGAGGAUCAAACAGGAUUAGAUACCCUGGUAGUCCACGCUGUAAACGAUGAGAACUGGAUGUUGCUAAAUGUAUAAUUUAGCGGCGUUGUAGCUAACGCGUUAAGUUCUCCGCCUGAGUAGUACGAUCGCAAGAUUAAAACUCAAAGGAAUUGACGGGGGCCCGCACAAGCGGUGGAACAUGUGGUUUAAUUCGAUGCGACCCGAAGAACCUUACCUGCUCUUGACAUCCUAGGAAUCUCUUGGAAAUAAGGGAGUGCCUUCGGGAACCUAGAGACAGGUGCUGCAUGGCUGUCG